ACAGAAAACAAGGAAUGAAAUGCGGUGACAAAGGCCCACCCAAAACGCAUAAAUUAGGUCUCAACCUUUUUUCUAAUUCCCUAUAUUUCAUCAUUCGCACCAAUCCAAACCCAAGAAAGAGAAAAACAGAAAAGCUUCGUUUAGGAAGAACAACAAGAAGCUCUGGAUUCCGCCUCUUCCCGUCCUUCGAGACGGUUGUUAUGCUGCGUGCUUUUCAGGUCUCAUCCUCUUUCCUUCUCCCCCUCUUCUUUCAGAUCCGAUCCGAUCCGAUCCCUUUCGGAUCCUUCCGAUUGCCUUUUCGCUUUAGUUCGCCGUCGUUUUUGUGCUUUCCUUUCUUGUUUUGUUUAGGCUUUUGACUGUUUGACCGUCGAACCAAUUGAAUUUGUUUGUUCAACUUUGGUUCCUGUUGUUAGAGGAUUACGCGUUCGUCGAAUUUGACUUUCUUGAUGGAUUUUCCGCUUUUUUUUUCUAGGUUUUGUUUUCUUUUUGUGCUUUGGUGUUAGUUAGGGCUUCGAGAUAGGAUUCUGGUUCUCGAGAUUCGUAUGGACUGUUGUUUAUGCUUUAUUCCGUCUUAGGUUAUAGUUUUUGGUGUUAUUAGAUUAUUUAUGCUUCUGCUUUCUGGAAUUUGAUGUUUAAUCUUGAUGGCACAUGGAUAAUCAAUCAUAGAGAUCUUGUAGGCAUUUUACGCCUUGUAAUUUUCGAUUCGAAUUUAUUCCUUGACUGAUGAUAAUUUUAUAUUUACCUUUUUUUCCUGGAAAACUGGCAAUUUUUGAAGCAGGAUUUUUCGAAUUUAAUUGUUUGAGGUAAGUGUAAAUGCAAUUAAUUUUACUUGGUCAGAGAAUCCGAGUCUUCAUCGCUGUUUUGUUGUAGCAUCUGAAACUAAUAGUUGCCCGAUUUCAUAUGUCAUUCAUGUUUUUUGCUGUUAAUUUUAAUUUUAUUGGUCAUGUAAUGGUAAAGAAAAUUGAGUAUGGGUUUUUUAUGAAUCUAACCUCAAGCCUUCUCCAUGUUUCUUUAAUCAUAGGUUGGUCCUGGGUUGAAUCUAAGGAUCGUGAUUUAUAUUUGAGACAUGGAGGGAGUUUGUUUCUGGACAAAUUGCUACCAGUAUCGGUUUUUUGCAUUCCAAGAAGUGCUUGAUUGGCGAUUUUUCAUCUUGAGAUUUCUUCGGGUUUUCCUUUGUUAAUUGCACUUAGUGUUCGCUCCCGUUUGAUGAUCAGCACAGGGUACGUGAUGCUACUUUCUUCUGAUACAGGUGCUGCAUCUUUAGUGCACUUGUGCAAUGCAUUGCUGACGCCAUCCCCUUCUGUUAAAACUCCGGUAAAUCCUCUUGGGGCUGAAACAUAUAGAUCGGUGACUGAAUAUUGGAUUCUGCCUGCAUAUUUUGAGUGAAGCAUUUGCAUUGAAUCAGUUCGAACUGUAGUUAUUGAAAUAGCCUCCUUGUUGCUCUUGAUGGGUAUUGUUGCUGAAUAACACACAUCAGUUACCCGAAGUUUCUGAAGCAAAUCCUACUUUGAUUAGAUGAAGUAGAGUAUAUUGUAGUUCUGAAGUCUUGGGGUCAACGGUGAUUUUAGCUAGAGGGAGAGUAAUGGUACUGCUUUGAUCAGUCAUUAUAGUGGGACCUGAGAGUGUCAGUAUGAUCUCUGUUCUUGUUCAUUUCCACCACCUUUACUAUGCAACCAUUUCGAAGCCGUGGGUCUAUAAUGAAUAAAGCUGUGCAGCCCGUCCAUCUGAAAGUUUCUGCUUCUAUGCCCUCUUUUGCUACGACAGAAAAUUGAUGGUGGAUUUUGCUGGACCAGCAGGAACCUGUUAAUAUUUUAUACACUCUGAGCAUCAUCUACACGAGGAUAAAUGCCAUUUAUUUCCUUUGCGUUUUGGUUUACAUUUGUUGAAUCAAGAAAGUGCUGCUU
Molecule: non-coding RNA, 1904 nt
Organism: Vigna umbellata (rice bean)
Lineage: Eukaryota; Viridiplantae; Streptophyta; Magnoliopsida; Fabales; Fabaceae
Source: RefSeq, a predicted model, not a curated record